This 233-nucleotide long non-coding RNA is filed under the name Elaeis guineensis (African oil palm). Its description in RNAcentral is "long non-coding RNA (EGUI_LNC053427)". The record is from RNAcentral. Lineage: Eukaryota; Viridiplantae; Streptophyta; Magnoliopsida; Arecales; Arecaceae.
GGGACUCUUUUCCAAUUAUGAUUUUUUAUAAUCAGCACAACAAUGGCGACCGGAUGAGACAUUAAAUAUAGUAGAUCUCAUUAAACUAUGGUUAUCAUGUCAAUCAUGUAUGGUUAUGAUUGAAAGAUAUGUCCUUCCCACAGGCUUUAAACCGUCCGAUGCAGGACCGCCAAUCUGCUACAUGUCACUGUCAACGACUUCUCCUGGCCCAAAGUUUUGAUUGAUUGGAAGCC